Molecule: ribosomal RNA, 2350 nt
Filed under: human gut metagenome
Description: bacterial LSU rRNA
Rfam family: Bacterial large subunit ribosomal RNA
Source: RNAcentral
ACUAUCGUUAACUGAAUACAUAGGUUAACGAGGCGAACCGGGGGAACUGAAACAUCUAAGUACCCCGAGGAAAAGAAAUCAACCGAGAUUCCCCCAGUAGCGGCGAGCGAACGGGGAGCAGCCCAGAGUCUGAAUCAGCUUGUGUGUUAGUGGAACGGUCUGGAAAGUCCGACGGUACAGGGUGAUAGUCCCGUACACCAAAAUGCACAGGUUGUGAACUCGAAGAGUAGGGCGGGACACGUGGUAUCCUGUCUGAAUAUGGGGGGACCAUCCUCCAAGGCUAAAUACUCCUGACUGACCGAUAGUGAACCAGUACCGUGAGGGAAAGGCGAAAAGAACCCCGGCGAGGGGAGUGAAAAAGAACCUGAAACCGUGUACGUACAAGCAGUGGGAGCACCUUCGGGUGUGACUGCGUACCUUUUGUAUAAUGGGUCAGCGACUUAUAUUCUGUAGCAAGGUUAACCGUAUAGGGGAGCCGAAGGGAAACCGAGUCUUAACUGGGCGUUAAGUUGCAGGGUAUAGACCCGAAACCCGGUGAUCUAGCCAUGGGCAGGUUGAAGGUUGGGUAACACUAACUGGAGGACCGAACCGACUAAUGUUGAAAAAUUAGCGGAUGACUUGUGGCUGGGGGUGAAAGGCCAAUCAAACCGGGAGAUAGCUGGUUCUCCCCGAAAGCUAUUUAGGUAGCGCCUCGUGAACUCAUCUUCGGGGGUAGAGCACUGUUUCGGCUAGGGGGUCAUCCCGACUUACCAACCCGAUGCAAACUACGAAUACCGAAGAAUGUUAUCACGGGAGACACACGGCGGGUGCUAACGUCCGUCGUGAAGAGGGAAACAACCCAGACCGCCAGCUAAGGUCCCAAAGUCAUGGUUAAGUGGGAAACGAUGUGGGAAGGCACAGACAGCCAGGAUGUUGGCUUAGAAGCAGCCAUCAUUUAAAGAAAGCGUAAUAGCUCACUGGUCGAGUCGGCCUGCGCGGAAGAUGUAACGGGGCUAAACCAUGCACCGAAGCUGCGGCAGCGACACUAUGUGUUGUUGGGUAGGGGAGCGUUCUGUAAGCCUGCGAAGGUGACCUGUGAGGGUUGCUGGAGGUAUCAGAAGUGCGAAUGCUGACAUAAGUAACGAUAAAGCGGGUGAAAAGCCCGCUCGCCGGAAGACCAAGGGUUCCUGUCCAACGUUAAUCGGGGCAGGGUGAGUCGACCCCUAAGGCGAGGCCGAAAGGCGUAGUCGAUGGGAAACAGGUUAAUAUUCCUGUACUUGGUGUUACUGCGAAGGGGGGACGGAGAAGGCUAUGUUAGCCGGGCGACGGUUGUCCCGGUUUAAGCAUGUAGGCUGGUUGUCCAGGCAAAUCCGGAUAAUCAAGGCUGAGGUGUGAUGACGAGGCACUACGGUGCUGAAGUAACAAAUGCCCUGCUUCCAGGAAAAGCCUCUAAGCAUCAGGUAACAUCAAAUCGUACCCCAAACCGACACAGGUGGUCAGGUAGAGAAUACCAAGGCGCUUGAGAGAACUCGGGUGAAGGAACUAGGCAAAAUGGUGCCGUAACUUCGGGAGAAGGCACGCUGAUAUGUAGGUGAAGCCCCUGCGGGUGGAGCUGAAAUCAGUCGAAGAUACCAGCUGGCUGCAACUGUUUAUUAAAAACACAGCACUGUGCAAACACGAAAGUGGACGUAUACGGUGUGACGCCUGCCCGGUGCCGGAAGGUUAAUUGAUGGGGUUAGCGGUAACGCGAAGCUCUUGAUCGAAGCCCCGGUAAACGGCGGCCGUAACUAUAACGGUCCUAAGGUAGCGAAAUUCCUUGUCGGGUAAGUUCCGACCUGCACGAAUGGCGUAAUGAUGGCCAGGCUGUCUCCACCCGAGACUCAGUGAAAUUGAACUCGCUGUGAAGAUGCAGUGUACCCGCGGCAAGACGGAAAGACCCCGUGAACCUUUACUAUAGCUUGACACUGAACAUUGAGCCUUGAUGUGUAGGAUAGGUGGGAGGCUUUGAAGCGUGGACGCCAGUCUGCGUGGAGCCAACCUUGAAAUACCACCCUUUAAUGGCUGGUGUUCUAACGUAGACCCGUGAUCCGGGUUGCGGACAGUGUCUGGUGGGUAGUUUGACUGGGGCGGUCUCCUCCCAAAGAGUAACGGAGGAGCACGAAGGUUAGCUAAUCCUGGUCGGACAUCAGGAGGUUAGUGCAAUGGCAUAAGCUAGCUUGACUGCGAGCGUGACGGCGCGAGCAGGUGCGAAAGCAGGUCAUAGUGAUCCGGUGGUUCUGAAUGGAAGGGCCAUCGCUCAACGGAUAAAAGGUACUCCGGGGAUAACAGGCUGAUACCGCCCAAGAGUUCAUAUCGACGGCGGUGUUUGGCA